UACGGGAGUGGCAAGCGUUAUCCGGAAUUAUUGGGCGUAAGGCGUCCGCAGGCGGUCUUGUAAGUCUGUUGUUAAAGCGUGGAGCUUAACUCCAUUUCAGCAAUGGAAACUGUAAGACUAGAGUGUGGUAGGGGCAGAGGGAAUUCCCGGUGUAGCGGUGAAAUGCGUAGAUAUCGGGAAGAACACCAGUGGCGAAGGCGCUCUGCUGGGCCAUAACUGACGCUCAUGGACGAAAGCCAGGGGAGCGAAAGGGAUUAGAUACCCCUGUAGUCCUGGCCGUAAACGAUGAACACUAGGUGUCGGGGGAAUCGACCCCCUCGGUGUCGUAGCCAACGCGUUAAGUGUUCCGCCUGGGGAGUACGCACGCAAGUGUGAAACUCAAAGGAAUUGACGGGGGCCCGCACAAGCGGUGGAGUAUGUGGUUUAAUUCGAUGCGACGCGAAGAACCUUACCAGGGUUUGACAUCCUGCGAAUCUCUUGGAAACGAGAGAGUGCCUUCGGGAACGCAGUGACAGGUGGUGCAUGGCUGUCGUCAGCUCGUGUCGUGAGAUGUUGGGUUAAGUCCCGCAACGAGCGCAACCCACGUCGUUAGUUGCCAGCAUUUAGUUGGGCACUCUAGCGAGACCGCCGGUGAUAAACCGGAGGAAGGUGUGGAUGACGUCAAGUCAUCAUGCCCCUUACAUCCUGGGCUACACACGUACUACAAUGCUACGGACAAAGGGCAGCAAACUCGCGAGAGCUAGCAAAUCCCAUAAACCGUGGCUCAGUUCAGAUCGUAGGCUGCAACUCGCCUACGUGAAGGAGGAAUCGCUAGUAAUCGCAGGUCAGCAUACUGCGGUGAAUACGUUCCCGGGCCU
RNAcentral lists this ribosomal RNA (857 nucleotides) under uncultured bacterium. RNAcentral's name for it is "SSU rRNA". It matches the Rfam family "Bacterial small subunit ribosomal RNA", at positions 524 to 1381 of the family's 1533-position model. The record is from RNAcentral.